This 322-nucleotide ribosomal RNA is filed under the name uncultured eukaryote. RNAcentral describes it as "partial 18S ribosomal RNA". It matches the Rfam family "Eukaryotic small subunit ribosomal RNA", at positions 1470 to 1796 of the family's 1831-position model. The record is from RNAcentral.
CCCUUAGAUGUUCUGGGCCGCACGCGCGCUACACUGAGUGGAUCAGCGGGUCAGGUUGCGCGAAAGCGUUUCCUAAUCUUUAAAUCCGCUCGUGAUGGGGAUUGACGGUUGCAAUUUUCUGUCAUGAACGAGGAAUACCUUGUAAGCGCGGGUCAUCAUCCCGCGCUGAAUACGUCCCUGCCCUUUGUACACACCGCCCGUCGCUCCUACCGAUUGAGUGGUCUGGUGAGGCUUUGGGAUCUGAGCGGAAAGAGCGUUUCGCUGUUUCUGCUCGGAAAACUCAGUCGAACCUUAUCAUUUAGAGGAAGGAGAAGUCGUAACA